This 479-nucleotide ribosomal RNA is filed under the name uncultured bacterium. Its description in RNAcentral is "bacterial SSU rRNA". It matches the Rfam family "Bacterial small subunit ribosomal RNA", at positions 28 to 521 of the family's 1533-position model. The record is from RNAcentral.
GAUGAACGCUGGCGGCGUGCUUAACACAUGCAAGUCGAACGGAGCUAUAAUGAAUAGUUUACUAUGCAAUAUAGCUUAGUGGCGGACGGGUGAGUAACGCGUGAGGACCUAUCCAUGGCAGGGGGACAACAGUUGGAAACGGCUGCUAAUACCGCAUAAGCGCUACGGCGUAAAAGGAGAGAUCCGGCGAUGGAGGGACUCGCGUCCUAUCAGCUAGUAGGUUGGGUAAAAGACUGACCUAGCGAUGACGGGUAGCCGACCUGAGAGGGUGCACGGCCACACUGGGACUGAGAUACGGCCCAGACUCCUACGGGAGGCAGCAGUGGGGAAUAUUGGGCAAUUGGGGGGAAACCCCUGACCCAGCGACGCCGCGUGAGUGAUGAAGUCUCUCGGGACGUAAAGCUCUGUCGUAUGGGAAGAAGCAGAUGACCGGUACCAUACGAGAAAGCCCCGGCAAACUACGUGCCAGCAGCCGCCGU